Molecule: ribosomal RNA, 393 nt
Filed under: uncultured bacterium
Lineage: Bacteria
Description: partial 16S ribosomal RNA
Rfam family: Bacterial small subunit ribosomal RNA
Source: RNAcentral
AUACGGAGGAUCCGAGCGUUAUCCGGAUUUAUUGGGUUUAAAGGGUGCGCAGGCGGAAGAUUAAGACGGCGGUGAAAUUUUGCAGCUCAACUGUAAAAGUGCCAUCGAUACUGGUUUUCUUGAGUGUGGAUGAAGUAGGCGGAAUUUGUGGUGUAGCGGUGAAAUGCAUAGAUAUCACGAGGAACUCCGAUUGCGCAGGCAGCUUACUAGGCCAUAACUGACGCUCAGGCACGAAGGCGUGGGGAUCAAACAGGAUUAGAUACCCUGGUAGUCCACGCAGUAAACGAUGAUUACUCGCUGUUUGCGAUACACAGUAAGCGGCUUAGCGAAAGCGUUAAGUAAUCCACCUGGGGAGUACGUUCGCAAGAAUGAAACUCAAAUGAAUUGGCGGGG